Neogale vison (American mink) is the source of this 1031-nucleotide long non-coding RNA. RefSeq lists it as uncharacterized. The transcript has 9 exons. The record is from RefSeq and is a predicted model, not a curated record. Lineage: Eukaryota; Metazoa; Chordata; Mammalia; Carnivora; Mustelidae.
CCCACGCGCCUUCCACAUUGAGCGCAUCGCCAUCUUGAGAGGGGAGGAGCCGUAGUGACUUGAGUGACGUCUGCCCAGAGAGCCAGUCCCAGAGUUGCGGCUGUUUGGCUUGCUGCGUAAGCGCCCCUGUCUUCCGGGCCUACUGGAGUCCGGUCUUUGCCCAGCAGUCCCUGCAAAUCUCGUCUUGCUUGAAACAAUAGAUUAAAACCAGACUGGCAGUUGGGGAACGCUUUCUAUUGCAACCAUGUGUGUCAGAAGAAAGGAUUAGGUUUCCUUGUCCAAGAACAUCAAGGGGAACCUCCACCUCUGCAGACACACCUUUAUUCCUGGAGUACAGCUCUUCAAAGAAGACAGAGAAUUGCUCCUCCCUCAGGCUUGCAUCAUCUCACUAUUUAUCAUCCGGCUCUCUGUUUGCCAGCAUCUCUUCUCAAGGAUCUGUCCGCAUCAGUUCUGCAUCUAAGUUGAUGAACUUCCAUCAGGAGGGUUAAAGCAUUGGGAAACGAGAGAAGAAAUUGUGUUCCAAAAAUCCCUUCUUGAACCACGAUGAUCCACCUAGAGCACUAUGAUACCUGGAGGUAGUAGAGGUCUGUCUGUGUAAUUUUCUUGCUGUAUAAUACUCCAUUCUAUGAAGGUAACAUAAUUUGUUCACCCAUUCUACUGUUGAUGGACAGGUUGCACUAAUCUGUGCUCUCACUAACUGAGAAUUCCAAGAGCUCCACAUUCUCAUCACACCUGACAUUACUGGACUUGAUCAAUUCUAUGAACCUGGUGAGCCUGAGAAUUUUCCAGCUAUAAAAAGAAUGGAAGCAAUUGGUGGCAGAGGAAAUAAUAUGUGUUACAGUCUAGUGGAAUGAAUGAACUUGAAGCAAAUCCCCUCAAGAGAGGCCUACAGAGACUGUGGCCCCUGCGGAUAGCUUGACUGCAACCUCAUGAGAUCUGGAACCUCUCCUAUAAGUCACUCUGCAUCCUUGACCCAGAGAAGCCCUGAAAUAAGAGAGAGAGCACGCGCACAAGAGAGCAAGCACAAGCAG